CUCUGCGCAUAUGCGAGGUCUGUCCAAGUUCGCGUUUAUCCCGUUUAGCGAAACGAAACGAAAAAGAACGAUUUGGACUCUGAUCGAAUUCACCUCAAUUUGUUCAAGGAGUAUAAUUGGACAAGUUUGUUGCGUUUUUGAAGUUGAAGAUGCCAAAGUCAAAAGAAUAUCUCUCUGACAGCGAUGAUAGCAGUGAAGAGG
Trachymyrmex cornetzi is the source of this 201-nucleotide long non-coding RNA. RefSeq lists it as uncharacterized. The transcript is spliced from 2 exons. NCBI's taxonomy places the organism in Eukaryota, Metazoa, Arthropoda, Insecta, Hymenoptera, Formicidae. The record is from RefSeq and is a predicted model, not a curated record.